Molecule: unclassified non-coding RNA, 174 nt
Filed under: soil metagenome
Description: partial internal transcribed spacer 1
Source: RNAcentral
CAGGACUCGCUAUAACUCCCUUAAACCACUGUGAACAUUACCUGACAACCGUUGCCUCGGCGGGUGACUCCGGCGCGUCUUCGGCCUAACAACGGGGCCGCCCCCGCCAGGCGGCCCCUAACUCUGUCUCUUAUAACUGUUUUGGCAGCUAACCGAGCAGACCAUAACGAUUCA